CUUGGUCAUUUAGAGGAAGUAAAAGUCGUAACAAGGUUUCCGUAGGUGAACCUGCGGAAGGAUCAUUAUCAGAGCUUUGCUCAUUCCAUUCUUGUGAAUUUUAUUGUCUCAAAUUAAAACUUUCAACAACGGAUCUCUUGGCUCCGGCGUCGAUGAAGAACGCAGCGAACUGCGAUACGUGAUGUGAAUUGCAGAAUUGUGAAUCAUCGAAACUUUGAACGCACAUUGCGCCUGUCGGUACUCCGUCAGGCAUGUCUGUUUGAGCGUUGUCAAACUCUCAGUUCUGGUUGUAGAGGAGGCAGCGCCCCUCUGAAAUAUCUCAGCAUUGUGCCACGGCGAAACGUGAAGCGUGCUAUAAUAUGAAUCUCCAACCUCAAAUCAGACAAGAAUACCCGCUGAACUUAAGCAUAUCAAUAAGCGGAGGA
Molecule: ribosomal RNA, 425 nt
Filed under: uncultured fungus
Lineage: Eukaryota; Fungi
Description: eukaryotic LSU rRNA
Rfam family: 5.8S ribosomal RNA (bases 118-269)
Source: RNAcentral